ACAUCCGUAGCUCAGCAGGAGAGAGCAUCGGCCUCCUAAGCCGAAGAUCGGGGCUCGAGCCCCCGCGGGUGUG
This 73-nucleotide transfer RNA is filed under the name Deltaproteobacteria bacterium. RNAcentral's name for it is "tRNA-Arg". It matches the Rfam family "tRNA". From Rfam's summary of the family: Transfer RNA (tRNA) molecules are approximately 80 nucleotides in length. Lineage: Bacteria; Pseudomonadati; Myxococcota; Myxococcia. The record is from RNAcentral.